GGGAGAACGAGGUGCCCCUGGUCCCACUGGCAAAGAUGGUAUCCCAGGCCUGCCAGGGCUUCAAGGACCCCCUGGAGCUGCAGGGCCUUCUGGAGAGGAAGGAGACAAGGGAGAAGUAGGGAUGCCUGGUCAUAAGGGAAGCAAAGGGGAUAAAGGAGAUGCGGGCCCUCCCGGACCAAUAGGGAUAAGGGGUCCAGCAGGCCAUCCAGGACCUCCGGGUGCUGAUGGGGCUCAGGGUCGCCGGGGACCCCCUGGCCUCUUUGGGCAAAAGGGAGACGAUGGAGUUCGAGGCUUUGUAGGUGUAAUUGGUCCUCCAGGUCUGCAGG
This is a long non-coding RNA of Alexandromys fortis (reed vole), 326 nucleotides long. RefSeq lists it as uncharacterized. Lineage: Eukaryota; Metazoa; Chordata; Mammalia; Rodentia; Cricetidae. The transcript is spliced from 4 exons. The record is from RefSeq and is a predicted model, not a curated record.